GCCGCCGACAUCCUGCCAACACGUGCCAACUAGUGCUGUGUUUCUGGAGCGGUAAUAUGCUAGUUAAUAAGGCGACUGUAGCUACGCAAAGACAGCGGUGCCACGGCGCUACCCACCCACGGUCCACCCUUCCACUCCCAGUACGCCUCAGUCUUUCGUGACGGAAGGUGUGUGAGUUAGCAGUUACAGGUGUAGUAAAGGGGAGAAGAUGAGCCUUUCAUGGAAUAACAGGGAAACACUAUUGUUGCUGCACCGCUGACCCUCACUCACUGUGUUUGGUGAGAUGUGAAGAAGUGCAGU
Molecule: long non-coding RNA, 300 nt
Organism: Portunus trituberculatus (swimming crab)
Lineage: Eukaryota; Metazoa; Arthropoda; Malacostraca; Decapoda; Portunidae
Exons: 3
Source: RefSeq, a predicted model, not a curated record